This 256-nucleotide ribosomal RNA is filed under the name uncultured bacterium. RNAcentral describes it as "partial 16S ribosomal RNA". It matches the Rfam family "Bacterial small subunit ribosomal RNA", at positions 524 to 776 of the family's 1533-position model. The record is from RNAcentral.
UACGUAGGGUGCAAGCGUUGUCCGGAAUUACUGGGCGUAAAGAGCUCGUAGGCGGUCUGUCGCGUCGGCUGUGAAAACUCGGGGGCUCAACCCCGAGCCUGCAGUCGAUACGGGCAGACUAGAGUGCUGUAGGGGGAGACUGGAAUUCCUGGUGUAGCGGUGAAAUGCGCAGAUAUCAGGAGGAACACCGGUGGCGAAGGCGGGUCUCUGGGGCCGAUAUCGACGUGAGGAGCGAAAGCGUGGGGGAGCGAACAGG